Molecule: non-coding RNA, 95 nt
Organism: Crucibulum laeve
Lineage: Eukaryota; Fungi; Basidiomycota; Agaricomycetes; Agaricales; Nidulariaceae
Source: the annotation of a GenBank genome assembly
GGGCGCAUGGUGUAGUUGGUUAUCACGUUUGCUUUGCAUCCAUCUUGAAUUGAAGCUCAUGCGAAAGGUGUUGGGUUCAAUUCCCAAUGUGUGUU